This 391-nucleotide ribosomal RNA is filed under the name uncultured bacterium. RNAcentral describes it as "bacterial SSU rRNA". It matches the Rfam family "Bacterial small subunit ribosomal RNA", at positions 28 to 429 of the family's 1533-position model. The record is from RNAcentral.
GACGAACGCUGGCGGCGUGCUUAACACAUGCAAGUCGAACGGUAAGGCCCUUCGGGUACACGAGUGGCGAACGGGUGAGUAACACGUGGGUGAUCUGCCCUGCACUUCGGGAUAAGCCUGGGAAACUGGGUCUAAUACCGGAUAGGACCAUGGACUUCACGGUUUGUGGUGGAAAGCUUUUGCGGUGUGGGAUGGCCCGCGGCCUAUCAGCUUGUUGGUGGGGUAAUGGCCUACCAAGGCGACGACGGGUAGCCGGCCUGAGAGGGUGUCCGGCCACACUGGGACUGAGAUACGGCCCAGACUCCUACGGGAGGCAGCAGUGGGGAAUAUUGCACAAUGGGCGCAAGCCUGAUGCAGCGACGCCGCGUGAGGGAUGACGGCUCGGUGUAAC